This 1233-nucleotide ribosomal RNA is filed under the name Triticum aestivum (bread wheat). RNAcentral describes it as "partial small subunit ribosomal RNA". Lineage: Eukaryota; Viridiplantae; Streptophyta; Magnoliopsida; Poales; Poaceae. The record is from RNAcentral.
AUGGGGGCGCUGGCGGCGUCGAUCGCGUCUCACGUGCCGUCGGGGAUGCUGAGCGCGGGGCUGGCGGCGCUGGCGGCGCUGCCGAACCCCGGCGAGCUGGUGCGCAAGGCGGCGCGGCUGGAGGACGAGCUGAGGGAGCUGCUCCGGCUGAACGGCCGUGGCGCCGGGGCGGGGGCGGAGCAGGGGGCCGGCAACGGGGCGCAGCAGACGCGGGAGCGGUUCCUGCGCGCGUACGAGCGGCUCAAGGAUGAGCUCCUCAACGACCGCGCCUUCAACUUCGACUUCACCGAGGAGACCAGGCAGUGGGUCGCCAAGAUGCUGGACUACAACGUGCCUGGAGGGAAGCUGAACCGGGGGCUGUCAGUGAUCGACAGCUACAUGCUGCUGCGGGAGGGCACCGAGGUGGACGAAGAGGACUUCUACCUCGCCUGCGUCCUCGGCUGGUGCAUCGAAUGGCUCCAGGCGUCUGCCCUGGUGAUGGAUGACAUCACGGACAACGCCUACACCAGGCGGGACAACCUCUGCUGGUACAAGCUGCCCACCGUUGGCCUGUCUGCGAUAAACGACGGCGUGCUGCUGAAAUGCCACGUCCAGGCCAUCAUCAAGCGCUACUUCAAGGAGAAGUUCUACUUCAUGGAACUCAUGGAGCUCUGGAACGAGAUUGGGUUGCAGACCGCCAUGGGGCAGAUGCUGGACCUCAUCACCACCCACACCGGCGCCAAGGAUCUCGCCAGAUACAGGAUCCAAGGGUACCGCCGCAUUGUCAAGUACAAGACAUCCUACUAUUCCUUCUACCUGCCGGUUGCCUGUGCAUUGCUCUUGAAUGGCGCGAAACUGAGCGACUACGUCGAGCUCAAAAAUGUACUGAUUGAGAUGGGAGUCUACUUUCAGAUACAGGACGACUACCUCGAUUGCUUCGGCGACCCUCAAGUUAUUGGCAAGGUUGGAACAGACAUAGAAGACUACAAGUGCUCCUGGCUAAUUGUCCAGGCUAUGGAACUGGCUAAUGAGAAUGAGAUGAAAAUACUAUAUGAAAACUAUGGCAAGUCUUGCCCGGAAUGUGUUGCAGCAGUGAAAAAUGUUUAUAAGGAGCUUGAUCUCCAGGACAUAUUCUUGGAGUACGAGUCAAGAGUUUACAAGCACCUAGUUUCAACCAUCGACGCCGAGCCAGACCGUGCGAUUCGGGAGAUUUUGAAGAUCUUUCUGAAGAAGAUUUAUAGGAGAAAGAAGUAG